AUGCAAGGGACGGCGGCGCCCGAAGUCAACGGCGGGGCAGCAGCAACUCCGGCCGGUGAGGGCAGCGGGAAGGACCGGAGAGGGCGGAUCUGGUCCCGAGAAACCCAUUCCCGGUGGCGGCAGCGGCAGUGGGAUCCCAGGGCGGCGGCGCGAGCAACUCCGACGGCGGCAACGACAGGUACCUGCGAGAAGAAAGGUCGGCGGGGUGAGAGGGAGAUGGAACCAAGGGAGAAGGGAGAGAUGGAAGGGCAGGGCGACGGGGUAGGCCUCGAGGUCAACGGCGGUGGCUCGCCGGAGGGCGCGGAGGGCGGCGGGAUCGGGCGAGCAGGAGGGGAACUCCCGAUCCAGAUCGAGCAGAGCGCUCGGGAGCGGCGGCGAACGGGGCUGCGGGCUCAUCGGGUCCGGAUUGGCCCGGGGCGGGCCGGAUGCGGGCUUCUACGGGCCUCGGCGGCGGGGAGGAGCGGGGUGAUGUGGCGAUGCCACAUGGCGGCAGGGCAGUGGCUGGAGAUGGCCAAGGGGCGACGUGGCGCGCGUGGAUUGGUCCGGGGCGCGCCGGCGGCGGCGCCAAGUGGCGGGCUGCGGCUAGCGGCGGCGGAACCAAGGUGGGAGGUGGCUGGCUGCGCGGAAAUGGCAUGGGAGGCGUCUAUAUAUAGAAAGGAGCUAGGGUUUGAGGGUUUGGGGCCGCUUUUGGACCGUACGAUCACGAUCAUGCGGCUCUGGUCAGAGGGGGAGGUUAGAGGGCUGCGGGAGGGAUUAGUGGGCUGUGUAGAGACCAUGGGCUGCAGGAGAGAAGAGGGAGAGAGGCCCGGCAACGGUUUUCGGAGACCGAAAACACCAGACGAAUAUACCGACUAUAUCGCGGUUAUAUAUUUAACGGUUGGGCAGUCAAACGAACUCCGAAUGCGACGAAAUUUGGCAGGCGGCCUGUCUACACUAUAA
RNAcentral lists this ribosomal RNA (939 nucleotides) under Triticum aestivum (bread wheat). Its description in RNAcentral is "partial small subunit ribosomal RNA". Lineage: Eukaryota; Viridiplantae; Streptophyta; Magnoliopsida; Poales; Poaceae. The record is from RNAcentral.